UACGAAGGGGGCUAGCGUUGCUCGGAAUUACUGGGCGUAAAGGGAGCGUAGGCGGAUAGUUCAGUCAGAGGUGAAAGCCCAGGGCUCAACCUUGGAAUUGCCUUUGAUACUGGCUGUCUUGAGUAUGGGAGAGGUUAGCGGAACUCCGAGUGUGGAGGUGAAAUUCGUAGAUAUUCGGAAGAACACCAGUGGCGAAGGCGGCUAACUGGCCCAUUACUGACGCUGAGGCUCGAAAGCGUGGGGAGCAAACAGG
Molecule: ribosomal RNA, 253 nt
Filed under: uncultured bacterium
Lineage: Bacteria
Description: partial 16S ribosomal RNA
Rfam family: Bacterial small subunit ribosomal RNA
Source: RNAcentral